AUGCUCUCUUUGGCAGCACAUACGCUACACUCGUAACUGGACAGAGGAGAUUAGCAUGGCCCCUGCACAAAGCUGACACAAAUUCAUGAAAUGUUCCAUAUUUUU
Molecule: small nuclear RNA, 105 nt
Organism: Sciurus carolinensis (gray squirrel)
Lineage: Eukaryota; Metazoa; Chordata; Mammalia; Rodentia; Sciuridae
Source: RefSeq, a predicted model, not a curated record